This 485-nucleotide ribosomal RNA is filed under the name uncultured bacterium. RNAcentral describes it as "SSU rRNA". It matches the Rfam family "Bacterial small subunit ribosomal RNA", at positions 26 to 521 of the family's 1533-position model. The record is from RNAcentral.
AGGAUGAACGCUGGCGGCGUGCUUAACACAUGCAAGUCGAACGGUCAAGUGAGGAGCUUGCUCCUUGCGGAUCAGUGGCGAACGGGUGAGUAACACGUGAGUAACCUGCCCUUGACUCUGGGAUAAGCACUGGAAACGGUGUCUAAUACCGGAUACGACCUCCGAAGGCAUCUUCUGGAAGUGGAAAGAAUUUCGGUCAAGGAUGGACUCGCGGCCUAUCAGCUAGUUGGUGAGGUAACGGCCCACCAAGGCGACGACGGGUAGCCGGCCUGAGAGGGUGACCGGCCACACUGGGACUGAGACACGGCCCAGACUCCUACGGGAGGCAGCAGUGGGGAAUAUUGCACAAUGGGCGCAAGCCUGAUGCAGCAACGCCGCGUGAGGGACGACGGCCUUCGGGUUGUAAACCUCUUUAGUAGGGUAAGAAGCGAAAGUGACGGUACCUGCAGAAAAGCACCGGCUAACUACGUGCCAGCAGCCGCGGU